Long non-coding RNA from Syngnathus typhle (broad-nosed pipefish), 994 nucleotides. RefSeq lists it as uncharacterized. Lineage: Eukaryota; Metazoa; Chordata; Actinopteri; Syngnathiformes; Syngnathidae. The record is from RefSeq and is a predicted model, not a curated record. The transcript is spliced from 3 exons.
UUGGGUUUUGCUAAUGCAAUGCACUUUAAGUCUGAUUACUCCAGCCAAGUAGACAAAAAUAAGGUGCUGAUGGAUGAGAGAAGCUCAACAUGGAAGUCUUAAUGAUCCUCCGAAAGAAGCUACGACUACAAUGCGGCCCGCGAAAAAAACGAGUUUGACACCCCUGGUGUAAAGAAAUGCUUUGACAGCCGAAGACCAUGCAGUAUGAUUAUACCUUCGAUGGCGUGGAGGGUAUUCAGAGAGGAGCAGAAGUUAAAAUGAGACAUGAGCAACGCUUUCACACAAAAAGCCAAAUCAAGAUGAAUUACAAAAGCCUCAAUCAGCAGAGGCCCAAGGCGACUGUAACUAAUUACCUGAACAUUAACAUCAGAUGAAGAGUGAGCCAAGAUUUCAUCUUUCAUUCCUCCCACAAGCUUGAUCAUUUUAAUUUUGCCUUGACGAAUCCUCCAUGUGAAUGUUACUGCUUUGAAAAGGUAUUUAACAUUUAUAUUUUUUCAAAUGCAUUUAUCUUUUGAAAUGACUCAUUUUCGCAAUACAAGUUAGGAAAAAAGCCUCCAGAGUGAGUAUAAAUCACAAUUUGGGGGGAUUUUUUUUCCCCCAAAUUAUUUGGGGGAUCCCUGUUCCCUAAUCGUGGGUGUGUUCAGAGAAAUGCUAUGAGCUCGAACUGCUUCAAUUGCAGUCAGCGCAACCAGACUGCAAUUGAAGUAAUGGCAUCAGCAUCAAAGGCACUUUCAGAUGAUGUGUUCUUUAGAACAUGCAUACUGAAAGCUGCAGAAUUCGAUUGUCCAGAGAAACGACAACAUUAGUCUAAAGAGAGAAAACGUUAUCACAAACUUCUAGUAUUACCUCAAGUGAAAAAGCAAGAGCAUUGCAUUUUUUUACACACGCUGUAGUCAUUGAUCCAGCAAAAUUAUGAUCGGGUGAUUUUAUCUGGAGCAAACACAUGCCAGACAUGUCAGCAUCUUGUACGGUGAAGCGGAAUAUAAUUAGCGAU